This 415-nucleotide ribosomal RNA is filed under the name Pseudomesus brevicornis. RNAcentral's name for it is "partial 16S ribosomal RNA". It matches the Rfam family "Archaeal large subunit ribosomal RNA", at positions 2030 to 2667 of the family's 2987-position model. Lineage: Eukaryota; Metazoa; Arthropoda; Malacostraca; Isopoda; Desmosomatidae. The record is from RNAcentral.
AAGGUAGCAUAAUCAUUUGUCUUUUAGUUGGAGGCUGGUAUAAGUGGGGAGACGAUGUCUCGCCUUUCCUGGCACACGCACGAGAAUUUGAUAUUUGCGUCAAAAAGCGCAAUUUUCCGGAAAGACGAUAAGACCCCGUAAAGCUUUACCUGAGUCUGGGGCAGUAUUUGGACCCUAGAGCCGCCAUGGCGGGGGUUGAGCUGGGGCGGCAUUCAAACAACCUUGACCGAAACAACAUACACACAUGAGUUGGCGGAUCUAACACAGAGAUGGAACAAGUUACUUCGGGGAUAACAGCGCAAUUCCCUCGGAUAGAUCUUAUAGAUGGAGGAGACUUGCGACCUCGAUGUUGAAUUGAGGGGCCUGAGCCGAGCAGAAACGGCUGCAGGAGGUCUGUUCGACCUGUAAAACCUCA